UACGGAGGAUGCGAGCGUUAUCCGGAUUUAUUGGGUUUAAAGGGUGCGCAGGCGGAUUUUUAAGUCAGCGGUCAAAUCGUGGGGCUCAACCCCGUCGUGCCGUUGAAACUGGCGUUCUUGAGUGAGCGAGAAGUAUGCGGAAUGCGUGGUGUAGCGGUGAAAUGCAUAGAUAUCACGCAGAACUCCGAUUGCGAAGGCAGCUUACUAAGCCAUAACUGACACUGAAGCACGAAAGCGUGGGGAUCAAACAGG
Molecule: ribosomal RNA, 252 nt
Filed under: uncultured Bacteroidales bacterium
Lineage: Bacteria; Pseudomonadati; Bacteroidota; Bacteroidia; Bacteroidales
Description: partial 16S ribosomal RNA
Rfam family: Bacterial small subunit ribosomal RNA
Source: RNAcentral